GCACAUAUAACCCCCAAGGAAGUGAUAAAGGACCACCAAGCUGAAAGUAGAUUCAGAAACAGGUAUCAAGAAAAUAUAGUCAUUCUACAGAGCCACUGAAAAGGAGAAAGUUAAGGCUCUAUCUGAAUAUCGCUGUUCCAGGACAACCCUUAAAAGAACAAGAAGAACAAGUGAACAAGUGAAGCUGUUCCACCAUUAAUGGGCAGCAGACACUAUGAGGUGAGCUACACAGUGAACACUGAAGAGCUGAGUUUUCAAUACCCUGCGCAUAUUCCCAGUAAUGUUUGCAAAUGCAAACAGAGCUUAAGAGCUUUCUGGAAACAAGAAGAAAGCGGAGGAAGAGAAAGAACAAUAGA
RNAcentral lists this long non-coding RNA (356 nucleotides) under Coffea arabica (coffee). RNAcentral's name for it is "long non-coding RNA (CARA_LNC004262)". Lineage: Eukaryota; Viridiplantae; Streptophyta; Magnoliopsida; Gentianales; Rubiaceae. The record is from RNAcentral.